AUGAACGCUGGCGGCGUGCCUAAUACAUGCAAGUCGAGCGAACAGACGAGGAGCUUGCUCCUCUGACGUUAGCGGCGGACGGGUGAGUAACACGUGGAUAACCUACCUAUAAGACUGGGAUAACUUCGGGAAACCGGAGCUAAUACCGGAUAAUAUAUUGAACCGCAUGGUUCAAUAGUGAAAGACGGUUUUGCUGUCACUUAUAGAUGGAUCCGCGCCGCAUUAGCUAGUUGGUAAGGUAACGGCUUACCAAGGCAACGAUGCGUAGCCGACCUGAGAGGGUGAUCGGCCACACUGGAACUGAGACACGGUCCAGACUCCUACGGGAGGCAGCAGUAGGGAAUCUUCCGCAAUGGGCGAAAGCCUGACGGAGCAACGCCGCGUGAGUGAUGAAGGUCUGCGGAUCGUAAAACUCUGUUAUUAGGGAAGAACAAAUGUGUAAGUAACUAUGCACGUCUUGACGGUACCUAAUCAGAAAGCCACGGCUAACUAC
Molecule: ribosomal RNA, 493 nt
Filed under: uncultured bacterium
Lineage: Bacteria
Description: partial 16S ribosomal RNA
Rfam family: Bacterial small subunit ribosomal RNA
Source: RNAcentral